RNAcentral lists this signal recognition particle RNA (296 nucleotides) under Saimiri boliviensis boliviensis (Bolivian squirrel monkey). RNAcentral's name for it is "Metazoan signal recognition particle RNA (ENSSBOG00000011824.1)". It matches the Rfam family "Metazoan signal recognition particle RNA". Rfam says of the family: The signal recognition particle (SRP) is a universally conserved ribonucleoprotein. It is involved in the co-translational targeting of proteins to membranes. The eukaryotic SRP consists of a 300-nucleotide 7S RNA and six proteins: SRPs 72, 68, 54, 19, 14, and 9. The record is from RNAcentral. Lineage: Eukaryota; Metazoa; Chordata; Mammalia; Primates; Cebidae.
GCCUGGGCAUGGUGGCUGGUGCCUGUAGUCCCAGCUACUCAGGAGGCUGAGGUGGGAGGAUCACUUGAGCCAGGAGUUCUGGGCUAUAGUACGCUAUGCCAAUCGGGUGUCCACACUUUCGGCAUCAAUAUGGUGACCUCCCAGGAGCAGGGGACCACCAGGUUGCCUAAGGAGGGGUGAACCAGCCCAGGUCGGAAACGGAGCAGGUCAAAACUCCCGUGCUGAUCAGUAGUGGGAUCACACGUGUGAAUCGCCACUGCACUCCAGCCUGGGCAACAUAGGGAGACCCCAUCUCU